RNAcentral lists this small RNA (124 nucleotides) under Marmota monax (woodchuck). The record is from RNAcentral. Lineage: Eukaryota; Metazoa; Chordata; Mammalia; Rodentia; Sciuridae.
CCUGGGUGCAGUGGUGCAUGCCUGUAAUCCCAGCGACUUGGGAGGCUGAGGCAGGAGGAUCAUGAGUUCAAAGUCAGCCUCAGCAAAAGUGAGGCACUAAGCAACUAGUGAGACCCUGUCUCUA